UGGGGAAUAUUGGACAAUGGGCGAAAGCCUGAUCCAGCCAUGCCGCGUGUGUGAACAAGGUCUUCGGAUUGUAAAGCACUUUAAGUUGGGAGGAAGGGCAUUAACCUAAUACGUUAGUGUUUUGACGUUACCGACAGAAUAAGCACCGGCUAACUCUGUGCCAGCAGCCGCGGUAAUACAGAGGGUGCAAGCGUUAAUCGGAAUUACUGGGCGUAAAGCGCGCGUAGGUGGUUUGUUAAGUUGGAUGUGAAAUCCCCGGGCUCAACCUGGGAACUGCAUUCAAAACUGACUGACUAGAGUAUGGUAGAGGGUGGUGGAAUUUCCUGUGUAGCGGUGAAAUGCGUAGAUAUAGGAAGGAACACCAGUGGCGAAGGCGACCACCUGGACUAAUACUGACACUGAGGUGCGAAAGCGUGGGGAGCAAACA
This 427-nucleotide ribosomal RNA is filed under the name uncultured bacterium. Its description in RNAcentral is "partial 16S ribosomal RNA". It matches the Rfam family "Bacterial small subunit ribosomal RNA", at positions 355 to 774 of the family's 1533-position model. The record is from RNAcentral.